CUGGCUGCCACACAGGGUUUGGAUGGAGAUUAAUGUCACCUGAGAACUGAUGCCCUGCCAGGGCGAGAGAAACCAUGUCGAGCCAGGGCUCGAUGCUGAGCUCUGGCUGUACCCACAGAGGGGAGAGUCGGGGGUUCUGUUUCCCAUGUGGGGUUGCAGCUGGCAGGGAUACACUGCUCGUAGCGGAGCUGCUUGGCUGUUAUCCUGUCUGCUGGGGACAGCAGUGUGUUCUCGGUCUCCAGUGGGAGAGGACAUACAUGUCACGGCCCUAUCUGAGAUACCACUGUCCCCAAAACUGGGCGUGAAAACCAAGACCUCUGGGAUCCUAAAGGAGUCAUGGGACUUACGGCUCUGGCCGUCCCUGUAGGCGAUGCCCAUAGACUAUGGUGGGGUGCUGGUGCCCUGUGAGAACCUCUGUCUGGUAGCUUGUGAAUGUGGACAUGGGAUGGGACAUAGAUAGGAAGUGGUCAUCUACAUGGGUCACUCACAUCCACUAGAGAGACUGGAACAGGAUGAACACGGGCAGCUGUGCUUGGCUGCUCAGGGGGCACCCAUGUUUAGUCCUGAACCCCAAGAUGGGGUGGUGGUGCUGGGGAGCAAGCGACAGCCCAGCUCCUAGGGUUGGCACCCCAAGGAUGCCAGCUCUGGCACUGUCAAUACACAUUCGAGGUCCCACGCAUGGUGAGCGUCUGCACUGCCUUGGCCUGUUCCUCUCUCUGGCCACCACACCACCUUCUGGACCCAGGAGAAAGGCCUUUCCCCGCAGCCUGGACCUCCUCAAGCAUCACUUCCUGUGGACACGCAGCUGUGCAUCACGUCACCCCAGUGAGCCCCAGCCCGACUUCUUCUGUGGGCUGGCAGCCCAUACCCUGCAGGGCUGGUGCACAGCUAUCAGGAGCAAGGACCCUGGCUACCAAGCGAAGACCGUGAGCUGCUCCUGCCAUCGUGUAACCCUGGGAUGAUAGUGUAGCCAUGUGCAGCGCUCCUCCCAGCAGCUCUGAUGCACACGGCCACCCGCUUAUGUCCCUACCCUGUGGGCUACCCAGCCCUAGGCUGCUUCCCCUGGACACCACAGCUUGGCUCUGGGGAGGAUAGGUUUUGUCCUUAGAUUUUCUGUGGGUGGCCUCGCCAUGGUGAUGUCUUUUUUACCCUAUUAUAAAUUACUUUUUUGCAAUCUUGCUUAAGCCGUUAGACAGAG
RNAcentral lists this long non-coding RNA (1198 nucleotides) under Heterocephalus glaber (naked mole-rat). Its description in RNAcentral is "lncRNA (ENSHGLG00100042177.1)". The record is from RNAcentral. Lineage: Eukaryota; Metazoa; Chordata; Mammalia; Rodentia; Bathyergidae.